Long non-coding RNA from Hemicordylus capensis (graceful crag lizard), 880 nucleotides. RefSeq lists it as uncharacterized. Lineage: Eukaryota; Metazoa; Chordata; Lepidosauria; Squamata; Cordylidae. The record is from RefSeq and is a predicted model, not a curated record. The transcript is spliced from 7 exons.
GCGGGGCUUCCACGGAGGCCUCCGUGUAGGCCUCUGUGAAGCCUGAACUCCAGUAGGGCCCAAGCCAGCCAGGAAGGAGGAGGCAGCCAGAGAGGCCUCCACUGUUCUCUGCAGCAGAAGACCCCUUGCUGCCAGGUUCUACUCAGCAAAACUGAGGAACACAUGUUUUUGUGUUGUUAAACGUUUCUGAGACAAUGGUUUACAAAUAUCUUACCCAGGGGGAUUCAUCAUUCAAUGUUUGUGCACUGAGAAGCAAUAUACUAGUAGCAGAUGAAUGUGAACAUCUUCUCUUCCCCUCUCCUAAGCCACGGGGAAAAAGAAAAAUAGCAGAAUGAUCACAUUUCACUGCAACCUUUUUCAACUUCAGUACUGAAAAAAGAAUUGUGUGAUGCCCGCUUAUAUCUCAACGUAUUUUUUACUCCUAAAACUUUGGUUCAAGAAGGCAUUGGUUAGGAGUGGCAAUGGCUGGCAGAAAGACGAUGUCCUCUACAUAGUAUUGCUGAAUUUUUAUGAGUCUUACCUAACUGGAAGAAUUCAAGCUGCCUGCCGACAGAACAAUACUAAAGGGGUUUGAAGUAGAAAACAUCAGAGAGAAUUGAAGAUGGAAAGCAGUGUCGUUGGCAAGCAUACCCUCUGACUACAGAGCAACCUUAAAAUCCCAGCUACAUUAUUGUUUGUAUGCAACUGUUUCAAGCACAGAACUACAUACACAGGGGGUGAAGGCAGAAGGUAGAUGUAACACUUUUAGAACACUGGUGCCAUUUGGAAGCACCAUUGCAAUGAUCUAUUUUUGGACAUUCCUAUCAACAAACAUCUUUAUAGAGAAAGUAACAUGAAACUACUCCUUUGCCAAUAUUCUGUUCACAAUAGAAUAAAAACC